CCCUCGCCAUCCUUGGCGAAGGCGUUGAUGUAGCGCCGCAUCUUCUGCACCAUCAGGUCGUUCCUGUCCUCCACCCUGCGGACGGGAGACCAGCACAGGAAGAGCUCCAAACGGUUCUACUGAUACGGAAAGCAGACGCAGCCAGGAGGCCUGUGGGGGUUCCUGACCUCAGGUACCACAACUGCUUCAGGCCGUAGUUCAGACCACACACGCCCAGCCGCGGCCACAGGCACCGGGGAAGCCUUCUCUCCAGCAUCAGAGUGGUGGCCACCACCUGCAAACACACACACACACACACACACACACACACACACACACACACACACACACACACACACACACACACACACACACACACACACACACACACACACACACACACACACACACACACACACACAGAUUACUGUCUGAGUUGAAAACCCAUGUGUGUGUGUUUUUGUACAAUCCCACCAGUGUUCCAAUUUACAAAAUAAAAAUGAAUUGAUGGAAAUUAUUUCAAUAAACUCACCCUCCCUUUAUGUGGUGCAUUUACAAGGA
Molecule: long non-coding RNA, 540 nt
Organism: Gadus macrocephalus (Pacific cod)
Lineage: Eukaryota; Metazoa; Chordata; Actinopteri; Gadiformes; Gadidae
Exons: 2
Source: RefSeq, a predicted model, not a curated record